This is a small nucleolar RNA of Megalops cyprinoides (Indo-Pacific tarpon), 73 nucleotides long. The record is from RefSeq and is a predicted model, not a curated record. NCBI's taxonomy places the organism in Eukaryota, Metazoa, Chordata, Actinopteri, Elopiformes, Megalopidae.
GGUGCACGUGAUGUCUAAAUAGCGAUCAAAGCAUGACCUGCUAUGAUUCAUACUAAUUUAAAACUGAUGCACC